UUAUAUGAGAGUUUGAUCCUGGCUCAGGAUGCACGCUGGCGGCGUGCUUAACACAUGCAAGUCGAACGAACUGAGAGGAGCUUGCUCCUCGAAGUUAGUGGCGGACGGGUGAGUAACGCGUGGGUAACCUGCCCUAUGCAGGGGGAUAACGUUUGGAAACGAA
RNAcentral lists this ribosomal RNA (163 nucleotides) under Candidatus Cellulosilyticum pullistercoris. RNAcentral describes it as "partial 16S ribosomal RNA". It matches the Rfam family "Bacterial small subunit ribosomal RNA", at positions 1 to 160 of the family's 1533-position model. The record is from RNAcentral. Lineage: Bacteria; Bacillati; Bacillota; Clostridia; Lachnospirales; Cellulosilyticaceae.